Pelobates cultripes (western spadefoot toad) is the source of this 250-nucleotide non-coding RNA. Lineage: Eukaryota; Metazoa; Chordata; Amphibia; Anura; Pelobatidae. The record is from the annotation of a GenBank genome assembly.
GCCACACCUCCCCUGGCUAUGAUUGACAGAGCCUGCAUGAAAAAAAAAAACUGGUUUCACUUUUAAACAGAUGUAAUUUACCUUAAAUAAUUGUAUCUCAAUCUCUAAAUUGAACUUUAAUCACAUACAGGAGGCUCUUGCAGGGUCUAGCAAGCUAUUAACAUAGCAGUGGAUAAGAAAAUCUUAAUUAAACAGAACUUGCAAUAAAGAAAGCCUAAAUAGGGCUCUCUUUGCAGGGAGGUGUGACAAG